Molecule: ribosomal RNA, 2904 nt
Filed under: Aerococcus mictus
Lineage: Bacteria; Bacillati; Bacillota; Bacilli; Lactobacillales; Aerococcaceae
Description: 23S ribosomal RNA
Rfam family: Bacterial large subunit ribosomal RNA
Source: RNAcentral
GGUUAAGUGAAUAAGGGCGUACGGUGAAUGCCUUGGCACUAGGAGCCGAUGAAGGACGGGACGAACACCGAUAUGCUUCGGGGAGCUGUAAGUAAGCUUUGAUCCGGAGAUUUCCGAAUGGGGGAACCUCAUUGUUUUUAUCGACAAUGGUCCACUCAGUGAACACAUAGCUGAGUGGAAGGUAGACGUGGUGAACUGAAACAUCUCAGUAGCCACAGGAAGAGAAAGAAAAAUCGAUUUCCCGAGUAGCGGCGAGCGAAACGGAAAGAGGCCAAACCAGCGUGCUUGCAUGCUGGGGUUGUAGGACUGAUGGACGGGAGUGAAUGAGCUAGUCGAACGCCAUGGAAAGGGCGAUCAGAGAGGGUGACAAUCCCGUAGGCGAAAGCUCAGCCACCUCAUUCAGUAUCCUGAGUACGGCGGUACACGUGAAAUUCCGUCGGAAUCCGCCAGGACCAUCUGGCAAGCCUAAAUACUCCCUAGUGACCGAUAGUGAACCAGUACCGUGAGGGAAAGGUGAAAAGCACCCCGGAAGGGGAGUGAAAGAGUACCUGAAACCGUAUGCCUACAAGCAGUCAGAGCCCGUUAAGGGGUGAUGGCGUACUUUUUGUAGAACGGACCGGCGAGUGACGAUAGCAAGCAAGGUUAAGCUGAAGAAGCGGAGCCACAGCGAAAGCGAGUCUGAAGAGGGCGUUGAGUUUGUUGUCGUCGACCCGAAACCAAGUGAUCUACUCAUGUCCAGGCUGAAGGUGUGGUAAAACACACUGGAGGGCCGAACCCACGUCUGUUGAAAAAGGCGGGGAUGAGGUGUGGGUAGCGGUGAAAUUCCAAUCGAACUUGGAGAUAGCUGGUUCUCUCCGAAAUAGCUUUAGGGCUAGCCUCGGAUGAUGACUAUUGGAGGUAGAGCACUGUUUGAUCGAGGGGUCCAUCCUGGAUUACCGACAUCUGAUAAACUCCGAAUGCCAAAUAGUUUAGUCCGGGAGUCAGACUGCGAGUGAUAAGAUCCGUAGUCGAAAGGGAAAGAGCCCAGACCACCAGCUAAGGUCCCAAAGUUUCAGUUAAGUGGAAAAGGAUGUGGGGUUGCUUAGACAACUAGGAUGUUGGCUUAGAAGCAGCCAUCAUUGAAAGAGUGCGUAAUAGCUCACUAGUCGAGUGACCCUGCGCCGAAAAUGUACCGGGGCUAAACUGAACACCGAAGCUGUGGAUCCGUAGGAUGGUAGGAGAGCGUUCUAUAGGCAGAGAAGCAUGAUCGUGAGGACAUGUGGAGCGUAUAGAAGUGAGAAUGCCGGUAUGAGUAGCGAAAGACGGGUGAGAAUCCCGUCCACCGAAUGACUAAGGUUUCCUGGGGAAGGCUCGUCCUCCCAGGGUUAGUCGGGACCUAAGCCGAGACCGAAAGGGAUAGGCGAUGGACAACAGGUUGAGAUUCCUGUACUUGUUUGAUUUGUUUGAGCGAUGGAAGGACACAGAAGGCUAAGCGGAGCGCGGAGAUGGAAAAACGCGUCCAAGCAAUAAGUGAGAAGGUGAGUGAAAGGCUUGCCUCAGACUUCAUGAGUUGUGACGGGGAGGGAAAUUUAGUACCGAAGCCGCCGACGUCACGCUGUCAAGAAAAGUUUCUAGUGAGAAUCAAACAACCCGUACCGCAAACCGACACAGGUAGUCGAGUGGAGAACACUAAGGUGAGCGAGCGAACUCUCGUUAAGGAACUCGGCAAAAUGACCCCGUAACUUCGGGAGAAGGGGUGCUGACCGCAAGGUCAGCCGCAGUGAAUAGGCCCAAGCGACUGUUUAUCAAAAACAUAGGUCUCUGCCAAAUCGAAAGAUGAUGUAUAGAGGCUGACGCCUGCCCGGUGCUGGAAGGUUAAGAGGAAGGGUUAGCGUAAGCGAAGCUCUGAAUUGAAGCCCCAGUAAACGGCGGCCGUAACUAUAACGGUCCUAAGGUAGCGAAAUUCCUUGUCAGGUAAGUUCUGACCCGCACGAAAGGCGUAACGAUUUGGGCACUGUCUCAACGAGAGGCUCGGUGAAAUUGUAGUACCAGUGAAGAUGCUGGUUACCCGCGACAGGACGGAAAGACCCCAUGGAGCUUUACUGUAGGUUGAUAUUGAAUGUUUGUGCCACAUGUACAGGAUAGGUAGGAGCCAUCGAAGUCGGGACGCUAGUCUCGAUGGAGGCACUGGUGGGAUACUACCCUUGUGGGAUGACCAUUCUAACCCGCGACCAUUAGCUGGUCGGGAGACAGUGUCAGUCAGGCAGUUUGACUGGGGCGGUCGCCUCCUAAAGUGUAACGGAGGCGCCCAAAGGUUCCCUCAGAAUGGUUGGAAAUCAUUCGCAGAGUGUAAAGGCAGAAGGGAGCUUGACUGCGAGACCUACAAGUCGAGCAGGGACGAAAGUCGGGCUUAGUGAUCCGGUGGUUCCGCAUGGAAGGGCCAUCGCUCAACGGAUAAAAGCUACCCUGGGGAUAACAGGCUUAUCUCCCCCAAGAGUUCACAUCGACGGGGAGGUUUGGCACCUCGAUGUCGGCUCAUCGCAUCCUGGGGCUGAAGUCGGUCCCAAGGGUUGGGCUGUUCGCCCAUUAAAGCGGUACGCGAGCUGGGUUCAGAACGUCGUGAGACAGUUCGGUCCCUAUCCGUCGCGGGCGUUGGAAAUUUGAGAGGAGCUGUCCUUAGUACGAGAGGACCGGGAUGGACACACCGCUGGUGUACCAGUUGUUCCACCAGGAGCAUGGCUGGGUAGCUAUGUGUGGACGGGAUAAGCGCUGAAAGCAUCUAAGCGUGAAGCCCCCCUCAAGAUGAGAUUUCCCAUACUUUUAAAGUAGUAAGACCCCUGAAAGACGAUCAGGUUGAUAGGUUUGGAGUGGAAGCUUAGCAAUAAGUGGAGCGGACAAAUACUAAUCGGUCGAGGACUUAUCCAA